This 1125-nucleotide ribosomal RNA is filed under the name Vibrio campbellii 200612B. Its description in RNAcentral is "bacterial SSU rRNA". It matches the Rfam family "Bacterial small subunit ribosomal RNA", at positions 192 to 1298 of the family's 1533-position model. The record is from RNAcentral. Lineage: Bacteria; Pseudomonadati; Pseudomonadota; Gammaproteobacteria; Vibrionales; Vibrionaceae.
GCCUACGGGCCAAAGAGGGGGACCUUCGGGCCUCUCGCGUCAGGAUAUGCCUAGGUGGGAUUAGCUAGUUGGUGAGGUAAGGGCUCACCAAGGCGACGAUCCCUAGCUGGUCUGAGAGGAUGAUCAGCCACACUGGAACUGAGACACGGUCCAGACUCCUACGGGAGGCAGCAGUGGGGAAUAUUGCACAAUGGGCGCAAGCCUGAUGCAGCCAUGCCGCGUGUGUGAAGAAGGCCUUCGGGUUGUAAAGCACUUUCAGUCGUGAGGAAGGUAGUGUAGUUAAUAGCUGCAUUAUUUGACGUUAGCGACAGAAGAAGCACCGGCUAACUCCGUGCCAGCAGCCGCGGUAAUACGGAGGGUGCGAGCGUUAAUCGGAAUUACUGGGCGUAAAGCGCAUGCAGGUGGUUUGUUAAGUCAGAUGUGAAAGCCCGGGGCUCAACCUCGGAAUUGCAUUUGAAACUGGCAGACUAGAGUACUGUAGAGGGGGGUAGAAUUUCAGGUGUAGCGGUGAAAUGCGUAGAGAUCUGAAGGAAUACCGGUGGCGAAGGCGGCCCCCUGGACAGAUACUGACACUCAGAUGCGAAAGCGUGGGGAGCAAACAGGAUUAGAUACCCUGGUAGUCCACGCCGUAAACGAUGUCUACUUGGAGGUUGUGGCCUUGAGCCGUGGCUUUCGGAGCUAACGCGUUAAGUAGACCGCCUGGGGAGUACGGUCGCAAGAUUAAAACUCAAAUGAAUUGACGGGGGCCCGCACAAGCGGUGGAGCAUGUGGUUUAAUUCGAUGCAACGCGAAGAACCUUACCUACUCUUGACAUCCAGAGAACUUUCCAGAGAUGGAUUGGUGCCUUCGGGAACUCUGAGACAGGUGCUGCAUGGCUGUCGUCAGCUCGUGUUGUGAAAUGUUGGGUUAAGUCCCGCAACGAGCGCAACCCUUAUCCUUGUUUGCCAGCGAGUAAUGUCGGGAACUCCAGGGAGACUGCCGGUGAUAAACCGGAGGAAGGUGGGGACGACGUCAAGUCAUCAUGGCCCUUACGAGUAGGGCUACACACGUGCUACAAUGGCGCAUACAGAGGGCGGCCAACUUGCGAGAGUGAGCGAAUCCCAAAAAGUGCGUCGUAGUCCGGAU